RNAcentral lists this ribosomal RNA (484 nucleotides) under uncultured bacterium. RNAcentral's name for it is "partial 16S ribosomal RNA". It matches the Rfam family "Bacterial small subunit ribosomal RNA", at positions 29 to 507 of the family's 1533-position model. The record is from RNAcentral.
AUUGAACGCUGGCGGAAUGCUUUACACAUGCAAGUCGAACGGCAGCACGGGGGCAGCCCUGGUGGCGAGUGGCGAACGGGUGAGUAAUACAUCGGAACGUGCCCGGUCGUGGGGGAUAACGUAGCGAAAGUUACGCUAAUACCGCAUACGAUCUGAGGAUGAAAGCGGGGGACCUUCGGGCCUCGCGCGAUCGGAGCGGCCGAUGUCGGAUUAGGUAGUUGGUGGGGUAAAGGCCUACCAAGCCGACGAUCUGUAGCUGGUCUGAGAGGACGACCAGCCACACUGGAACUGAGACACGGCCCAGACUCCUACGGGAGGCAGCAGUGGGGAAUUUUGGACAAUGGGCGCAAGCCUGAUCCAGCCAUUCCGCGUGCAGGACGAAGGCCUUCGGGUUGUAAACUGCUUUUGUACGGAACGAAAAGGCUCUGGCUAAUACCUGGGGCUCAUGACGGUACCGAAAGAAUAAGCACCGGCUAACUACGUG